RNAcentral lists this ribosomal RNA (477 nucleotides) under uncultured bacterium. RNAcentral's name for it is "bacterial SSU rRNA". It matches the Rfam family "Bacterial small subunit ribosomal RNA", at positions 43 to 507 of the family's 1533-position model. The record is from RNAcentral.
CAGGCCUAACACAUGCAAGUCGAGCGGUAACAGAAAGAAAGCUUGCUUUCUUUGCUGACGAGCGGCGGACGGGUGAGUAAUGCCUGGGAAUAUGCCUUAGUGUGGGGGAUAACUAUUGGAAACGAUAGCUAAUACCGCAUAACGUCUUCGGACCAAAGAGGGGGACCUUCGGGCCUCUCGCGCUAAGAUUAGCCCAGGUGGGAUUAGCUAGUUGGUGAGGUAAAGGCUCACCAAGGCAACGAUCCCUAGCUGGUCUGAGAGGAUGAUCAGCCACACUGGAACUGAGACACGGUCCAGACUCCUACGGGAGGCAGCAGUGGGGAAUAUUGCACAAUGGGGGAAACCCUGAUGCAGCCAUGCCGCGUGUAUGAAGAAGGCCUUCGGGUUGUAAAGUACUUUCAGUCGUGAGGAAGGCAUUGUAGUUAAUAGCUGCAGUGCUUGACGUUAGCGACAGAAGAAGCACCGGCUAACUCCGUG